UAGUUUAUUUGUCUUGCCGGUAUUAGCCGAAUAUUGUAACCAAAACCUUAAGCCAAAGAUUGCUACCGAAACGUUUGCAGUGGUAAAUUUGGACUAAAACCAAACACAUUCUUUUCUUUCUUUUUUUCUCAUGGUAGGCUUGUCAAAAUAGUAUAGACAUGAAAAAAAAUUGAGAUUGUUAAGAUAGAUCUUACUGGUAUUCGGUGCUGUAAAGAGAGCCUCGAGGAUAACUAUUGGUAAGUCUGUUAUGUAGAAUUUUUUUGAUGAUGUAGAAGACAGGAAUAAAUGAGAAGAUAUAGAAAUUAAGAUUGCAUAUAUUUAAAUGAACAGAUAACUAAUCACACGCAAGUUCCAAGGUAAAACGAGAGAGCAAACACUUAUAUGGUUGCACCCUUUGUUGGACAAUAACAUGCAACUGAAAAAACACAUCAAUAUAUAUCAUCCAAAGUUUGGCGUAAUCCCCGGACCGAGGGAAUACAAUCUACCUACUUAACACCCGAAGACUGUAGCGAAAUAUUCGUGAGCGAUUGUCUCCCUUUUUUUUGACACGAUGAUCAAUCGUCCAUUCUUUUUUUUUAGAGCAAGAUCUACACAAUCGAGCUGUUUUCCUCAUUCUAGGGCCCAUAUAGAGCUACUCCCGUCCGGUGGACAGUGGACCCAUCCUCGCCAGUGGGGCUCACACAAAAUUGCCAGUUGAGAGUUUACGCGGUGCAAAACCGAACCAGAAACCAAAAACAGGAAAAAAAUACCCGAAACCGAAUUCACCCUGUGCAACACCGAAACCAAAAACAGGAAAAACAUACCCGAAACCGAGUUCACCCUGUGCAAAACCGAACCAGACC
Molecule: long non-coding RNA, 842 nt
Filed under: Brachypodium distachyon (stiff brome)
Lineage: Eukaryota; Viridiplantae; Streptophyta; Magnoliopsida; Poales; Poaceae
Description: long non-coding RNA (BDIS_LNC001896)
Source: RNAcentral